UGGCACAUGUAUGAAGGACUUUACCUUCAGGA
Molecule: non-coding RNA, 32 nt
Filed under: Homo sapiens (human)
Lineage: Eukaryota; Metazoa; Chordata; Mammalia; Primates; Hominidae
Source: RNAcentral